GACGAACGCUGGCGGCGUGCCUAAUACAUGCAAGUCGAGCGGAAGUUGGAGAGCUUGCUCUUCAACUUUAGCGGCGGACGGGUGAGUAACACGUGGGCAACCUGCCCUGCAGAUCGGGAUAACUCCGGGAAACCGGUGCUAAUACCGAAUAGUUUUCGCCACCUCCUGGUGGCGUACGGAAAGACGGUUUCGGCUGUCACUGCAGGAUGGGCCCGCGGCGCAUUAGCUAGUUGGUGGGGUAACGGCCCACCAAGGCAACGAUGCGUAGCCGACCUGAGAGGGUGAUCGGCCACACUGGGACUGGGACACGGCCCAGACUCCUACGGGAGGCAGCAGUAGGGAAUCUUCCGCAAUGGACGAAAGUCUGACGGAGCAACGCCGCGUGAGUGACGAAGGUUUUCGGAUCGUAAAACUCUGUUGUGAGGGAAGAACAAGUACCAAUUAACUACUGGUACCUUGACGGUACCUCACCAGAAAGCCACGGCUAACUACGUGCCAGCAGCCGCGGUAA
Molecule: ribosomal RNA, 511 nt
Filed under: uncultured bacterium
Lineage: Bacteria
Description: partial 16S ribosomal RNA
Rfam family: Bacterial small subunit ribosomal RNA
Source: RNAcentral